This 507-nucleotide ribosomal RNA is filed under the name uncultured bacterium. RNAcentral's name for it is "partial 16S ribosomal RNA". It matches the Rfam family "Bacterial small subunit ribosomal RNA", at positions 30 to 523 of the family's 1533-position model. The record is from RNAcentral.
AUUGAACGCUGGCGGUAUGCUUAACACAUGCAAGUCGAACGGCAGCAUGGAAGAACUUGUUCUUCUGAUGGCGAGUGGCGGACGGGUGAGUAAUACAUUGGAUUCUGCCUUAUAGUUUGGGAUAACCACUCGAAAGAGUGGCUAAUACCGGAUGUGGACUACGGUUUAAAGCAGGGGAUCUUCGGACCUUGCGCUAUAAGAUGAGCCUAUGCAAGAUUAGCUAGUUGGUGAGGUAAAGGCUCACCAAGGCGACGAUCUUUAGCUGGUCUGAGAGGAUGAUCAGCCACAGUGGGACUGGAACACGGCCCAGACUCCUACGGGAGGCAGCAGUGGGGAAUAUUGGACAAUGGGCGGAAGCCUGAUCCAGCAAUACCGCGUGUGUGAAGAAGGCCCUAGGGUUGUAAAGCACUUUUGUCAGGGAGAAUGGAUGUUGUGGUUAAUACCCAUAGCAAUUGAUGUUACCUGAAGAAUAAGCACCGGCUAACUCCGUGCCAGCCGCCGCGGUAA